AUGGCAUAACGAGGGCUUAGCUGUCUCCUUUUUCCAGUCAAUGAAAUUGAUUUCCCCGUGCAGAAGCGGGGAUAAAUACAUAAGACGAGAAGCCGUAUGGAGCUUUAGACACUAAAAUGGCCCAUGUCAAUAACCCCAAGAAAAAGGAAAAAACCAAGUGGGACCCACCUUGAUGUCUUUGGUUGGGGCGACCACGGGGAAAUAAAUAACCCCCACGUGGAGUGGGAGCACCUCCUCCUAAAACUAAGAGUGACAACUCUAAUCAACAGAAAUUCUGACCAGGAAGAUCCGGCAAUGCCGAUCAACGGACCUAGUUACCCUAGGGAUAACAGCGCAAUCCUCUUUUAGAGCCCAUAUCGACAAGAGGGUUUACGACCUCGAUGUUGGAUCAGGACAUCCUAAUGGUGCAGCCGCUAUUA
RNAcentral lists this ribosomal RNA (419 nucleotides) under Culaea inconstans (brook stickleback). RNAcentral's name for it is "partial 16S ribosomal RNA". It matches the Rfam family "Bacterial large subunit ribosomal RNA", at positions 1996 to 2567 of the family's 2925-position model. Lineage: Eukaryota; Metazoa; Chordata; Actinopteri; Perciformes; Gasterosteidae. The record is from RNAcentral.